This is a transfer RNA of Felis catus (domestic cat), 85 nucleotides long. It matches the Rfam family "tRNA". Rfam says of the family: Transfer RNA (tRNA) molecules are approximately 80 nucleotides in length. Their secondary structure includes four short double-helical elements and three loops (D, anti-codon, and T loops). The record is from Rfam. Lineage: Eukaryota; Metazoa; Chordata; Mammalia; Carnivora; Felidae.
GCCUGGGUGGCUCAGUCGGUUAAGCAUCUGACUUCGGCUCAGGUCACGAUCUCACUGUCUGUGGGUUCGAGCCCCACGUCGGGCU